AAGCAGUAGAGGGAGUACAAUCCAAAACUGAAGGAUUGGGCCUAUGGCCCAAUCGAUCCAGCAAUGCAGCAACGGGAAUUUACAUUCCCUGGGUUCGUCUUCCUACGAACAUCAUUCUCCCAUUAGAAAGAAAACAUGGCCGACGCACAUCAAACGACUCUGUCAUGCAAGAGCUCAUCAUCGGCGGCGACGAAGCUUCCACUCGCCUCGCGCUCACCUCGCUAUCACCAACUCAAACUCUCGACUCCCGAAUC
Molecule: long non-coding RNA, 254 nt
Filed under: Lathyrus oleraceus (garden pea)
Lineage: Eukaryota; Viridiplantae; Streptophyta; Magnoliopsida; Fabales; Fabaceae
Description: Pisum sativum (pea) long non-coding RNA (PSAT_LNC032641)
Source: RNAcentral